GGCUCAUUACAACAGCCGUUGUUUCUUGGAUCUUAUUUUACUUGGAUAACUGUGGUAAUUCUAGAGCUAAUACAUGCAAAUCAUCUCCAACCACUGGAAGGAGUGCAUUUAUUAUACGAAAACCAAUCAGGCUUGCCUGAAGCUUGGUGACUCUGAAUAACUAUGCUGAUCACAUAGUCUUAGCACUGGUGACAUUUCUUUCAAGUGUCUGCCCUAUCAACUUUCGAUGGUAGUUUAUGUGCCUACCAUGGUUGUAACGGGUAACGGAGAAUAAGGGUUCGACUCCGGAGAGGGAGCCUGAGAAAUGGCUACCACAUCCAAGGAAGGCAGCAGGCGCGCAAAUUACCCACUCUCAGAUCGAGGAGGUAGUGACGAAAAAUAACGAGAUGGUUCUCUUUGAGGCCCAUCAUCGGAAUGGGUACAAUUUAAACCCUUUAACGAGGAUCUAUUGGAGGGCAAGUCUGGUGCCAGCAGCCGCGGUAAUUCCAGCUCCAAUAGCAUAUGCCAAUUCUGCUGCUGUUAAAACGCUCGUAGUUGGAUCUUUUCCAAGGUUCCAGUCUGUCUCAAGGACAUGUACUGGUUUCCAAGGAUAAUUCAGCUGGUCUUCUCAUGGUGCUCUUCAUUGAGUGCUAUGGGUGGCUAGCAAAUUUACUUUGAAAAAAUUAGAGUGCUCAAAACAGGCGUUUCUGCCCGAAUAGUGGUGCAUGGAAUAAUGGAAUAGGAUCUCGGUUCUAUUUUGUUGGUUUUAGGAGUGCGAGAUAAUGAUUAAGAGAGACAGAUGGGGGCAUUCGU
This 792-nucleotide ribosomal RNA is filed under the name Leptonemella sp. PRESS8VF. RNAcentral's name for it is "SSU rRNA". It matches the Rfam family "Eukaryotic small subunit ribosomal RNA", at positions 95 to 895 of the family's 1831-position model. Lineage: Eukaryota; Metazoa; Nematoda; Chromadorea; Desmodorida; Desmodoridae. The record is from RNAcentral.